GAAUUGCGAUAAGUAAUGUGAAUUGCAGAAGUCAGUGAAUCAUCGAAUCUUUGAACGCAUCUUGCGCCCUUUGGUAUUCCUUAGGGCAUGCCUGUUUGAGUGUCACGAAUACUAUUUGGACCAAGUCUUUUUUCUUCAUGUUAAUCGACGAGGCUCCAGCGUUGAGCGUCUGCCUCGCCCUUGGGCCUGGCUCGCUUUAAAUGUAUUAGCUGGGUCGGCUGGUUGCAGCCUUCACCUUUGGUAUGAUAAGUAUUAUGCCGUCGGUUGAGGGUAGCGCCGUUCUAUGGUCGCCUGCUUCUAAUCUAGGAGUGGCAUCGAAACUCGCUGUGCUUGCUGCACGGCCUGGGACGAUGCUUCCUCGCACUAUAUUCAAAUCUGGCCUCAAAUCAGGUAGGACUAC
RNAcentral lists this unclassified non-coding RNA (400 nucleotides) under uncultured Ustilaginomycetes. RNAcentral's name for it is "sequence contains ITS1". The stretch from base 1 to 105 matches the Rfam family "5.8S ribosomal RNA", at positions 50 to 154 of the family's 154-position model. Lineage: Eukaryota; Fungi; Basidiomycota; Ustilaginomycetes. The record is from RNAcentral.